Molecule: long non-coding RNA, 935 nt
Filed under: Equus caballus (horse)
Lineage: Eukaryota; Metazoa; Chordata; Mammalia; Perissodactyla; Equidae
Description: lncRNA (ENSECAG00000048620.1)
Source: RNAcentral
GGUGAUAAACCAGCUAGCAACUAGCUGAGUGGCUCUGGGACAGCUGGUGAAGCAAUUUGUGCUUUAAGCUUCUCAUCUGUAAAAUAAGGGGGCAGUUGCUGUCAUUGUUCCAGGACUGGAGUUCUUGACCUUAGCCGUACACUGGAAUCAUCUGGAAUGCUUUAAAUACCUCCCUGCUGACUCUGCAUCCCUGUGGGCUCGUGGAGUAAGGGGCAUGUGAAGCAGAAUAGCAUCACUUUGGAUGAGUGGAGACAGGACAACAUUCAUUGAAUACCUCUUAACUGAUAAAACUGACAGUCUCAGUCCUGGCUUCAGAUUUGAAUCACCUGGGAAGAUUUAAAAGCACUACCCUGGAGCAUCGAAAUCAGAAUCUCUGGGGACGGAGCCCAGACGUCAGUAUUUUCAAGAGUUCCCCAGGAGACUGCAAUGAACAGCCCUGGUCAACAUCAAACAAAGGAAGAAUUGAUGCGUUCUUUGGAUACUCAAGAAAAAAAGAGAAAUGAUGGUGGACAAACACCUUCUGGAAGAGUGGAAUAGGAAGGCAGCACUUUCUACACUUGCAGAUAACUCUGCAUUAGAAUAUUACCUAUUCGUGAGAAAUCUAAGGAUGACAAAAAUGAACCAGAAAGGCUUUCUUUGAAACAAAAACUCUACCUCAGUAUCAUUAAAAGAAAAAAAAAAAUCCUGGGGAGGGGGAGGAAUUCUUUAGUUCCUAAAGGAAAAAUGUUAAAAAAUAUCUUCUCAAAGUCAUCAAUGAAGAGACGGCAUUAUUUGAAGAUAGGAGAGUCAGAAAGCAAAUAUGCUAGUUUUAUAUGCCUUCCUGACGUUCACAGACCAGAGUUUCCAGGGGCUGGAUAAUUCUGCAAAAGUACUCUGGAGUUUCAACAAUGACAUGAUUGUCAUUUUUGUUUUUUAAGAUCACAGUUUUUUUAAAC